AGUUCGAUCAUGGCUCAGAUUGAACGCUGGCGGGAUACUUCCGCGCAAGUCGAACGGCAGCACGGACUUCGGUCUGGUGGCGAGUGGCGAACAGGUGAGUAAUGUAUCGGAACGUGCCUAGUAGCGGGGGAUAUAACUACGCGAAAGCGUAGCUAGCCCUGCUACGCACUGGCGGGGAAAGCGGGGACCUUUCGGGCCUCGCACUAUUAGAGCAGCCGAUAUCGGGAUUAGCUAGUUGGUGGGGGUAACGGCUCACCAAGGCGACGAUCCGUAGCUGGUUUGAGGAGGACGACCAGCCACACUGGGACUGAGACACGGCCCAGACUCUACAGGAGGCAACUUGGGGGAAUUUUGGACAAUGGGGGAAACCCUGAUCCAGCCAUCCGGCGUGUGCGAUGAAGGCCUUUAGAGGUUGUAAAGCACUUUUGGCAGGAAAGAAACGGCACGGGAUAAUACCCCGUGCAACUGACGGUACCUGCAGAUAACGCAACCUUUAACUACGUGCCAGCAGCCGCGGUAAUACGUAGGGUGCAAGCGUUAAUCGAAUUGCCUGGGCGUAAAGCGUGCGCGAGCGGUUCGAAGAAGAUGUGAAAUCCCAGAGCUUAACUUUGGAACUGCAUUUUUAACUACCGAGCUAGAGUGUGUCAGAGGUGAAUUCCGCGUGCUGUAGUGAAAUGCGUAGAUAUGCGGAGGAAGACACCGAUAGCGAAAACAGCCUCCUGGGAUAACACUGACGCUCAUGCACGAAAGCAGUAGAGGGAGCAAACGGGAUUAGAUACCGCUGGUAGUCCACGCCCUACUUGGAAAUGUCAACUAGCUGUUGGGGCCUUCGGGCCUUGGUAGCGCAACUAACGCGUGAAGUUGACCGCCGCGAGGUACGGUCGCAAGAUUAAAACUCAAAGGAAUUGACGGGGACCCGCACAAGCGGUGGAUGAUGUGGAUUAAUUCGAUGCAACGCGAAAACCUUACCUACCCUUAGAGCAUGUCUGGGUCAAUCCCGAAGAGAUUUGGGAGUGCUCGCAAGAGAACCGGAACACAGGUGCUGCAUGGCUGUCGUCAGCUCGUGUGUGAGAUGUUGGGUUAAGUCCCGCAACGAGUGCAACCCUUGUCAUUAGUUGCUGCGAAGGGCACUCUAAUGGGCACUGCCGGUAUUAAACCGGAGGAGGUGGGGAUGACGUCAAGUCCUCAUGGCCCUUAUGGGUAGGGCUUCACACGUCAUACAAUGGUCGGGACAGAGGGGUCGCCAACCCGCGAGAGGCCAAUCCCAGGAAGCCCGAUCGUAGUCCGGAUCGCAGUCUGCAACUCGACUGCGUGAAGUCGGAAUCGCUAGUAAUCGCGGAUCAGCAUGUCGCGGUGAAUACGUUCCCGGGUCUUGUACACACCGCCCGUCACACCAUGGGAGUGCUACCAGAAGUAGUUAGCUAACCGUAAGGAGGGCGAUUACCACGGUAGGAUUCAUGACUGGGGUGAAGUCGUAACAAGGUAG
This 1486-nucleotide ribosomal RNA is filed under the name uncultured Bordetella sp. RNAcentral describes it as "partial 16S-23S ribosomal RNA intergenic spacer". It matches the Rfam family "Bacterial small subunit ribosomal RNA". Lineage: Bacteria; Pseudomonadati; Pseudomonadota; Betaproteobacteria; Burkholderiales; Alcaligenaceae. The record is from RNAcentral.